CAGAUCGUAGCUAAAAGCAGGAUAGCAUUUCCCUUACACCGAAAAGGUGCUCGUGCAAACCGAGCCGCUCUGA
RNAcentral lists this transfer RNA (73 nucleotides) under Trinectes maculatus (hogchoker). RNAcentral's name for it is "tRNA-Val". It matches the Rfam family "tRNA". From Rfam's summary of the family: Transfer RNA (tRNA) molecules are approximately 80 nucleotides in length. Their secondary structure includes four short double-helical elements and three loops (D, anti-codon, and T loops). Further hydrogen bonds mediate the characteristic L-shaped molecular structure. tRNAs have two regions of fundamental functional importance: the anti-codon, which is responsible for specific mRNA codon recognition, and the 3' end, to which the tRNAs corresponding amino acid is attached (by aminoacyl-tRNA synthetases). tRNAs cope with the degeneracy of the genetic code in two manners: having more than one tRNA (with a specific anti-codon) for a particular amino acid; and 'wobble' base-pairing, i.e. permitting non-standard base-pairing at the 3rd anti-codon position. Lineage: Eukaryota; Metazoa; Chordata; Actinopteri; Pleuronectiformes; Achiridae. The record is from RNAcentral.